AAGAUGCUGUAGCUUUAAAGAUGCUUUGACUUGAGGAUUAGUUUAAACAGGGGGCUAUAAAAGAUGUAACAGAUGCAAACUGUAAAACAAGGGCAAUUAACCCUUGCUCUCCUGAGCAGGAUCCCCCCCCCUCCCCUCUUCGCCUUCGCAUCUAUUGUCUUCUCCUGCACUGGGAGUUUUACACAAAAACCUAAAAAAAAUCAUUACCUGCCUCAACAAUACUACAAAAAACAUAAAAAUAUAUAGCAAAAAAGUGGGCUUUCUCCUCUCCUCUUUUUUUUUUUUUCCCUCCCCUUAUGUCUUUUUACUUUGCUGGAGCUUCACACCAGGACUGACCAGUGAAGUGUGCUGCUGCUGGGGCUUUUUUUAUUCCGCCUGAACUCUUCUUUCCAGGCGUUUGCGGUUAUCAAACCUGCUUGGCUUAAAAUAAAUCUGCGAGCAGAAAGACCAAGUCCCCCUUUCCUAGCGCUAAAACUUUUCCUGCUGCUUUGGGGAAAAAAAGGCACCUCCCGUACCUGGCUGACAGUUUUGGCCAGAAAUGGUGAGAAGAAAAAGCAUGAAGAAGCCGCGAAGUGGAGGAGAAAAGGUGAAGGGAGAUGCAGCUCCUGGAGAAAUUGUAAAAAAAGCCUUGCAAAAGAGUUGUCGGAAGGACCGUUAUUCCUGCUGGGCAGGAGCGAGAGGAGAGACCCUGAAACACACGCCACCUAUCUUUGUGGGGAGGGAUAAUUGAAGAGCACCAAACGUGAGCAUCAUGUGGAAACGUGAUCGGCCAAGUUUCUCUCUGGGAAAGGAUCUGGGAUAGAUUAUACCUUGAAGUCUCCGCGAACGCUUGAGCGGCAGAAAUGCAUAUUUCCACCUCCCUCGAGUUGCCUCCCUCAGCUUGUUUAUCGCUGUGUUGCAAUGGCUCUGUGGUUGUGAAAUCUCGAGCUGAAAACUCAAAA
Molecule: long non-coding RNA, 941 nt
Filed under: Calidris pugnax (ruff)
Lineage: Eukaryota; Metazoa; Chordata; Aves; Charadriiformes; Scolopacidae
Description: lncRNA (ENSCPUG00000007956.1)
Rfam family: ZEB2 antisense RNA 1 conserved region 1 (bases 55-196)
Source: RNAcentral